GCUGUUUAUCAGGUAUUAUCAGCUUAAUAUUUUUUUUAAGCUGGUAGUUACAAAUAUGCGUUUAUAUGAGAUAAAAUGCUAAUGAUAAUCAGCUAAUUUAUUUAUACCUUCGAAGUACAAGCUAAGUACGACCAAGCGAGGAAACUCAACCCAAAAGAAAUAACUACGUCAGUGAAAUAAUCAAUCAAAACAAUGAAACGAGACCUACUGUAAGGACAUUAGCAGCAAUGAACGAAGAGGCGUUUAUCACCGAAUGUGUUAAGUUCUUAAAAGGAGACAAACCAGUGCAAGUACUACAAUAUAAUUGUGCUCUAUGGAGAAAUAAUACCGAUAUAGUCUGGCAGAGAAUUAACAAAUUACUACGAAUCUCAUCAGGACGCUUUCUAACAACCUUUUUACAUUUAUUAGUCAAUUAUAAAGAUCUAUGGGACCGCCGAGAUAUAAACGGCGAAAUCUUGAUCUUCGAGCUGGGUCCAGUAGAUUAGUGUAUUUUCUUUAAUGAAAAGGCACCGACAAACUAACAGUCAAUAAAAAAGGAGAGGAUAUAUAUUGCGAGGCAAUUAAUACAGGGCGAGAAGAUGUACUAAGAGUACUUAAGUCGCACGGAUAAGCCCUGUUACGAAAAAAUGUUUAUAUACUUUCGCUAUUAAUAAGAAAGCAAGUCAUUUAAUACUGCUCUUGAAAGCUAAAGGGAUAAAGGCAACAGACCCCGUCGCUGCAUUACGGUUAGCCAUCAGAGAAGAUGAAGAAGAAGAACAACUUAUAGAAUCAGGCCAUGACAUAGAAGCUCGUACUGAAAACGGAAGAACAGCACUACAAAUCGCGAUUGCCGCAAAACACCACCAAAUAACGAGAUACUUAAUUGAAAAAGGAGCAAAUGUGCGAGCCCGGAUGGACGAAAUCGGGGAGAUACACCAGGGCGCCUCCAUCAAAGAAAGAGAGAGGGACAACUGCACUCUAGUCGAGGCCGCCGCUCUCGACAACGACAGCGAUGUGCUAGUACUUUUAUGGAGCCUAGGAGCUCCUUUAUAUAAUGAAUUGGGAAACAGCCUUUUAAAUAACCAAAUUGGUGACGAAGCAAAAGAGGCUCUGGUGAGAAGGAUGGCUCUGGUGAAUCACUUGCAAGGAGUUAUGCACCCGACAAACCACCUAAUAUGCACUCGUGAUAUAAGUCCUGCGAAGACAAAAGAGGUACAACAACAGAAAAAGAAUCAGUACGAAUAGUCUCUAUAGUUUACUUCGAGUUCUACGACAGUGUUAUGCAAACAAAAAACAUAUAUAAGAAAGAAUUAAUCAAUAAUAAUUAAGAAUUAAUAUAUAAUUAAGAAUAACCAUAACAGAACUACGGCCUAACCAAUCCGCGAAAGAAUGCUAUAAAGGACAAGAAUAUGCUAUCACGGAAGAGAGAGUAUGCAGACAUCUACACAAAGAAUGCGCAAUUGAUCAAUGUGUACUCGUUUAACUAAUCCAACAAAUCACGGGAAGAAUGGAAAGAAAGUUUAAGAAAAAAAAUUCUCUAUACGCAAACCCCAGCGAUAAUGUGCAAAAUUGACCACAAACAAUAUUCAAAAAUAAGCAGAAGGCUAGUAAGUAGAGUACAAGAGAAACAAGGAUCACUAUUAAUUAACCUCAUAAAAUAAAGAGAGAAUAAAUAGUCACUGUGAAAAUUAAACAACGUAAAUUGCCACUCCAAUGCACUAAUAUUUACUAUUAGUUAAACUAUAACGAUAAACUAUAACGAUAAAAAUAUUACGAUUUUUCCCUUUCAGUAAUCCAGAACAAUGGACAUCAGGCACUAUUUUCUCCUCUUGAGCUGCGGAAGCAUAAUGAGAGCCCAUAAGUACAUGCCCCUUUUCUCAGUCAAAAGGGUCGAGCGAAACACCGGUUGUAUUUAGUUAUUAUUUCUUGGCCUCCGCGUAUUAUUUCGAAUAAUUAGGCUAAAAUUAAUUCUCGGGUUCUCGGAUACGUUUCUAAGCAUAUCCUGACGGUGUAGGGACAAUUGACUUCGACUGCGGCAUGUAUAAUAGAGGUCAUUUCUUCGGGAGUCAUGGCGAUGAACCACCUGCGAAUUAAAUCCCGUACUGCGUAUCGUUGAUGUCGUGAUACCAUAUUUUGAAUGAUUCGUACCUUUUCCUUGUAGCUUGGCUUAAAAAUGGCUAUUGCUCGGCUAGUUAUUUUCCAAAGGUAAGCGUCUAUUCUUCUUCUGUGAGAUAAAUAGGAAAUAACUGGAUCAGAUAUUUGUUUUGUUUUGAAUGUUGACUCGAAUUAUUUACAUUCUUUCCCUCGCGUAGGUUUACUUAUGACUGAUUUGUUGAUGUUUUAUUAUUUUUAUCUCUUUUGUGUUUAGACUCUAUUUUCCGGCUUCCUAUGGCUGCUCCGCCCACUCUCGAGUAGAGCAGGUAGUUACGUGACGUUCUAUUGUUGUUUGGAGCACGGCAGACUCGACUCUACUCCUUCUCUUGAUUUGCUUCUGUGAGGGGGUAGGGUAGUUUGUCAGGGAUGCACGGAGGGCAUAGAAUAUUACGGUAGAUUAGUUUCGUCGUGCAGUUUACGGAAUUUGGUCGUCCUUCGUCGUGUGCUCCGCAAUUUGUCUUUUUAUAUCCUUUUUUUGUUGUUACUCUGACGUGUUGCUCAUCGAGCUUGUGAAGUCUUAAUAGCAACUAGUUCGUUUGUGAAUCUAAAAGUGGUGCUUUAACAAGACUUAUCAUCCAUGGAUUCUAACAGUGAUAAUGGAGACAGGAUUUUCUGGAAAUUCUGUUUUAGUUAACUGUUAUUCUCAUUUUUCCUUUUCGGAAAAGGUAAGUUGUCGCUUGCGAUUUGAAUUCUUCUUUUAGUGUUUAUUUUCCUUCAUCGAGUUGCUUGUUUAUAGAGGGGCGCGGAGCCUUGUCAUAGUAGCAAGGACCUUGAGAAGAACUGUCCGAUCUGCUUUGAAUCCACGAGGUCGCCAUCAAAUGUCAAUUUCUUCCUGUCGAGAGGUAUUGUCGGGUUCUUGUAGGUAUCCUAUCCGGUGUUUGUAACGGAUACUCGGACUCCUCCAGUAGGAAAUAUUUCUGACCAAUGAGUCGUUUGUCAUACGGAGACGUGGAACGGUCAACUAGCGGCUCGCAAUUGUGCUUAUUGUGAAGACUCCUGCGGUCAGCCACCGAAAUUGAUAAGAUGGGAGAAUACUGGUCGGUGAAUCUACAGAUUUGACUUGGGAUAUAUGGACUCAGCUGUCCUUUGGAGAGAAUUUUAGUUAUUUAAUUUCAUUUAUG
This is a long non-coding RNA of Nasonia vitripennis (jewel wasp), 3254 nucleotides long. RefSeq lists it as uncharacterized. Lineage: Eukaryota; Metazoa; Arthropoda; Insecta; Hymenoptera; Pteromalidae. The record is from RefSeq and is a predicted model, not a curated record. The transcript is spliced from 3 exons.